This 253-nucleotide ribosomal RNA is filed under the name uncultured bacterium. RNAcentral describes it as "partial 16S ribosomal RNA". It matches the Rfam family "Bacterial small subunit ribosomal RNA", at positions 524 to 776 of the family's 1533-position model. The record is from RNAcentral.
UACGUAGGGUGCAAGCGUUAAUCGGAAUUACUGGGCGUAAAGCGUGCGCAGGCGGUUUUGUAAGUCUGUCGUGAAAUCCCCGGGCUCAACCUGGGAAUUGCGAUGGAGACUGCAAGGCUAGAAUCUGGCAGAGGGGGGUAGAAUUCCACGCGUAGCAGUGAAAUGCGUAGAGAUGUGGAGGAACACCGAUGGCGAAGGCAGCCCCCUGGGUCAAGAUUGACGCUCAUGCACGAAAGCGUGGGGAGCAAACAGG